ACGGAAGGCAGCAGUGGGGAAUAUUGGACAAUGGGGGCAACCCUGAUCCAGCGACGCCGCGUGAGUGAAGAAGUAUUUCGGUAUGUAAAGCUCUAUCAGCAGGGACGAUAAUGACGGUACCUGACUAAGAAGCCCCGGCUAACUACGUGCCAGCAGCCGCGGUAAUACGUAGGGGGCAAGCGUUAUCCGGAUUUACUGGGUGUAAAGGGAGCGUAGGCGGCGAGCCAAGUCAGAUGUGAAAGCCCGGGGCUUAACUCCGGGACUGCAUUUGAAACUGGUUUGCUAGAGUGUCGGAGAGGUAAGCGGAAUUCCUAGUGUAGCGGUGAAAUGCAUAGAUAUUAGGAAGAACACCGGUGGCGAAGGCGGCUUACUGGACGAUUACUGACGCUGAGGCUCGAAAGCGUGGGGAGCAAACAGGAUUAGAUACCCUGGUA
Molecule: ribosomal RNA, 434 nt
Filed under: uncultured Clostridium sp.
Lineage: Bacteria; Bacillati; Bacillota; Clostridia; Eubacteriales; Clostridiaceae
Description: partial 16S ribosomal RNA
Rfam family: Bacterial small subunit ribosomal RNA
Source: RNAcentral